This 384-nucleotide small RNA is filed under the name uncultured Glomus. RNAcentral describes it as "SSU rRNA". It matches the Rfam family "Eukaryotic small subunit ribosomal RNA", at positions 569 to 958 of the family's 1831-position model. Lineage: Eukaryota; Fungi; Glomeromycota; Glomeromycetes; Glomerales; Glomeraceae. The record is from RNAcentral.
AGCAGCCGCGGUAAUUCCAGCUCCAAUAGCGUAUAUUAAAGUUGUUGCAGUUAAAAAGCUCGUAGUUGAAUUUCGGGGUCAGUAGAUUGGUCGUGCCACUGGUAUGUACUGGUCUUACUGGCUCCUCCUUCCUGAUGAACCGUAAUGCCAUUAAUUUGGUGUUGCGGGGAGACUGGACUGUUACUUUGAAAAAUUAGAGUGUUUAAAGCAGGCUAACGCUUGAAUACAUUAGCAUGGAAUAAUGAAAUAGGACGUUCGAUCUUAUUUUGUUGGUUUCUAAGAUUGACGUAAUGAUUAAUAGGGAUAGUUGGGGGCAUUAGUAUUCAAUUGUCAGAGGUGAAAUUCUUGGAUUUAUUGAAGACUAACUACUGCGAAAGCAUUUGC